UUGGGCCUUCGAGAAUUUCUG
Molecule: non-coding RNA, 21 nt
Filed under: Arabidopsis thaliana (thale cress)
Lineage: Eukaryota; Viridiplantae; Streptophyta; Magnoliopsida; Brassicales; Brassicaceae
Source: RNAcentral